GCUUAAAACUAGCAAGUGAGCUUUGUUCUCUGUAGAAUUCUAAAGACUCCAAGCUAUUUUUAAGCAAAGAGAAAUGGUAUUUUUGAUUACUUUUAUGAUUUGUGACUAUCUAGUGCCAGUCCUUUAGAUUUUGAGUUUUGAACGUGUCAAAUAGAUGGCGUGAAAGAAUGUUGUUUGUUGUGUCAGAUAUGGGCUUAUGGCGGCUCGUUGCCAAAAGUUUAGCUACAGCUAUUUUCUUCGAAAAUUACCAAUGAAUUCGCUGGAGAAAAUGUGAAAGGUGCAUGAAGCCUGUACUGUCUUGUAUUGUGUUGAAAAUCCUGGUAUCCUACUGAAUAUGUCAUCCAAAUGACAGAGUUGUAUCAACCAAUGCUAGCUUUAGUACAGCAUUGCUGGAACAUAGUCUACUCUUCUCAUCUUUUAUCAGGAUUCAUCAUUAUUAUCGGCUGAAUCAUUCUAUAGUAUGGGACUUGCUAGAUCACCAACCCCACGCAUGGACCAAUCUCUCAUUCCAUCUUCUAGAGAACCUUGGAUAACCGAUUGGUGGUUUAGUGUGUUCUUAUUGGGUUUCUAAUGUUGCAUGACAGACUUUAUGUCCAUUGAACAAAAAGGACAAUGACUAUAGAGUAACCCAUUGGCUGCUAGCCUGCUAACCUUGAAAAUCCCCUUUUACUUCAUGAAAAUGUAAACAGGCCCCCUUGAUUUGAGGGUACUUCGCUACUUAUCAUGGACUUCAUCCAUUAGUGAAAAACCAAUGACAACCAGGAGGAAAGAGUGUGCUGGUCGAACGGGGAACUUGCAAGCUAAGCCGGAAGCCUACUAUAUGAUUAAUCGUUCUCGUAAUAACUGUUCCUCAACUCUUCGCUCUUUUUCCGGUUUCUCCUACCAAUCCCUGUCUGCAGUCAAUUAAGGCAGUCUCCACCUGUCUUGAUUGACUCCAUGUGCGAGAUUUUAAAGCAAUUUAUCUCCCAAAUAACACAAAAGAAGUUGGUUAGAUUUGUUUUAUUAGGGUAUAAAUUGUUUAAAAACUUGUAUUAAUAAUCAAUUGCCUUGUACCGGACGCUCUGCUUAUUAAAUUUGUAAUAAUUUUGGGAAAUAUUGAUAAAAUGUAUUUAAGUUAAUUAAAAUUACAUUUAAUUCAAUAACAA
Daphnia pulicaria is the source of this 1145-nucleotide long non-coding RNA. RefSeq lists it as uncharacterized. Lineage: Eukaryota; Metazoa; Arthropoda; Branchiopoda; Diplostraca; Daphniidae. The transcript has 4 exons. The record is from RefSeq and is a predicted model, not a curated record.